RNAcentral lists this ribosomal RNA (246 nucleotides) under uncultured bacterium. RNAcentral describes it as "partial 16S ribosomal RNA". It matches the Rfam family "Bacterial small subunit ribosomal RNA", at positions 523 to 769 of the family's 1533-position model. The record is from RNAcentral.
AUACGUAGGUGGCAAGCGUUGUCCGGAAUUAUUGGGCGUAAAGCGCGCGCAGGUGGGAUCUUAAGUCCAUUUUUAAAGUUCGGAGCUCAACUCCGUGAUGGGAUGGAAACUGGGAUUCUUGAGUAUCGGAGAGGAAAGCGGAAUUCCCCGUGUAGCGGUGAAAUGCGUAGAUAUGGGGAGGAACACCAGUGGCGAAGGCGGCUUUCUGAACGAUGUCUGACACUGAGGCGCGAAAGCUAGGGGAGC